Molecule: ribosomal RNA, 512 nt
Filed under: uncultured bacterium
Lineage: Bacteria
Description: partial 16S ribosomal RNA
Rfam family: Bacterial small subunit ribosomal RNA
Source: RNAcentral
GAUGAACGCUGGCGGCGUGCCUAAUACAUGCAAGUCGAACGAAACUUCUUUAUCACCGAGUGCUUGCACUCACCGAUAAAGAGUUGAGUGGCGAACGGAUGCGUAACACGUGGGCAACCUGCCCAAAAGAGGGGGAGAACACUUGGAAACAGGUGCUAAUACCGCAUAACCAUAGUUACCGCAUGGUAACUAUGUGAAAGGUGGCUAUACUACCGCUGUUGGAUGGGCGGGCGGGGUAUUAGCUAGUUGGUAGGGUAAAGGCUUACUAAGGCAAUGAUGGGUUGCCCAAUUGAGAGGGUGAUAGGCCACAUUGGGACUGGAACACGGCCCAAGCGACUAAGGGACGGAGCAGUAGGGAAUGGGACGCAAUGGGGGAAAGCCUGAUGGAGUAACGGCGCGCGGGUGGAGGAAGUCUUCGGAUCGGAAAACCCUGUUGUUAGUGGAGAACGGGCUUGGGAGGUAACGUUCACGUAUUGACGGUAUCGAACCAGAAAGCAACGGCUAACUACGUG